AUGCAAUUUUCCCAGGGUUUUCCAGGGCUGACUACAGAGGAAGGUCCUAACUCUGUGUAUCCUCCCCACCUCUGUCUCACUUUGACUUCCAGAAUGGCCUGAGUCAUCUCCUUCUAAUAGGGCUCUUGUCUCCCUGGGACCACUGAGAAUGAGAGACAUCUUAGCCUCUUAGCCCUGCUGAGGAUCCACCAGGGCUUAUAGUAGGGGAUGUACUCUUCCGGCCCCUUUUGUCCUGAGGACGAAUUCCGCUCAGUCCUUGUUUAAUAAGGUUCUGAAUUUCACUCGAAGCGACCCCUAGGGCAGCCUCUGCUAACCUGAAUCAUACAGCCUUAGACCAAGGCUCUUAUGCACCCCUCCUCCUCCAACUAACCAAAAGGUGAAGCGAGGAGGCACCUGAGCCUUACGGCCAUACCAGGGGCUUCCAAGGGCUAACAGCAGGAGUGGGGCUCUUUACGGCCUCCACUGUUCUAGGGAGGCGGCUUCUCCUAAAAGAUAAAUUGGGGUGUUUGUUGGCUCCUGACAGAGCCUAGGACUCCUUCCUCUGCUGGCCGGAGGCAGACGCCCUAGUCAGACAUCCUCACCCUUCGGGGUUUCCCAUGGCUGGCAGCAGGGGCCCGGCUCCACACGGACGCCUCUGUCAUGGGAGACGAGAAGUUCUACUGAAUACACACGAGGGCCCUCAUCGACUCGUCCGAUACCCCCUCCCGGGGUCCAAAGCUAUUAUUUCUCCGAGUUCUCUGAAGGAGAAGUUGGAUGGCGGCAGGGGCCCGGCUCCACACGGACGCCUCUGUCAUGGGAGACGAGAAGUUCUACUGAAUACACACGAGGGCCCUCACCGACUCCUCCGAUACCCCCAUCCUGGGUCCAAAGCUAUUUCUUUGAGUUCUUCGAAGAAUUCGGAGAGUACUACAUUGGGUCAUCCCUGCCUGGAACCACCUAGGGAGGGAUUCCCUCGAACUUUACUCGAUAUUCGUAUUUUACCUGGGCAGCGCUUGGAUCCCUCCCUCAGCUGCUCCACCGGCUCACCUCCCACAGACCCCAGAAACGGAAGUCACUGUUACGCACAUCCGGCCACUCAUGGGGGGCCGGCUGGGGUCCCAGGAGUAUGACUCUUGUGGUUCCCCCUCUGUUAUAAUGUGAGUAGUAGCCAAAGUCCUCUCGGGAAGUAGGUUCUUAUUUUGGCUCCUGGUUCUUUGAUUAAAAGCUCCUUGGGAAAUAUCACCUCCUCUCCCAAGCUCUGGACAGUUUCUCAGCUUAAACCCUUGCAGACGGUGGCUCCACAUCCCAGCCGUGGGGUGAGAUCCAGAAGCCGCACAGGGAGGAAAAAAUGGAGAUACGUAGCAGCUGUCAUGAACUGUGAAGAGGCUAAGAUUUUUAUCCUUCUUGCAAGCUAACAAGUUAGCCUGUCACUUCUUGGAUGCUGGCAAAAAGCAUGAGGCUCUUGGUUGUUUACUUAUUGGGAACUAGAGUCAACUGAAAGACAAAACUGAAUGGCCUAGCUUUCAUCCAGCGAAUUAGAGGACUUAAUCUCAGAUCCUGGAAAAGAAGGUAGAAUGAACUACAGAAGAAAAAGCCAGAGAGAGACAGAGACACAGGCAGAGGGAGAAGCAGGCUCCCUGCAGGGAGCCCGACGUGGGACUCGAUCCCGGAUCUCCAGGAUCACACCCCAGGCUGCAGGUGCUAAACCGCUGCGCCACCGGGGCUGCCCUAUAAAUUAUCAUUAAGUUAUAAAUUUAUCAAUGGUUAAGUA
Molecule: long non-coding RNA, 1750 nt
Organism: Canis lupus familiaris (dog)
Lineage: Eukaryota; Metazoa; Chordata; Mammalia; Carnivora; Canidae
Exons: 4
Source: RefSeq, a predicted model, not a curated record